UGGUCUCAUUUUCAUGUCUUGUGUUCCAG
RNAcentral lists this non-coding RNA (29 nucleotides) under Rattus norvegicus (Norway rat). Lineage: Eukaryota; Metazoa; Chordata; Mammalia; Rodentia; Muridae. The record is from RNAcentral.